UACGAAGGGGGCUAGCGUUGUUCGGAAUUACUGGGCGUAAAGCGUGCGCAGGCGGCUUCUCAAGUCAGGGGUGAAAGCCCAGAGCUCAACUCUGGAAUUGCCUUUGAGACUGAGUGGCUUGAGUACGAGAGAGGUGAGUGGAACUGCGAGUGUAGAGGUGAAAUUCGUAGAUAUUCGCAAGAACACCGGUGGCGAAGGCGGCGACCUGGUCCUUGACUGACGCUGAGGCGCGAAAGCGUGGGGAGCAAACAGG
This 253-nucleotide ribosomal RNA is filed under the name uncultured bacterium. RNAcentral describes it as "partial 16S ribosomal RNA". It matches the Rfam family "Bacterial small subunit ribosomal RNA", at positions 524 to 776 of the family's 1533-position model. The record is from RNAcentral.